Molecule: long non-coding RNA, 618 nt
Organism: Carya illinoinensis
Lineage: Eukaryota; Viridiplantae; Streptophyta; Magnoliopsida; Fagales; Juglandaceae
Exons: 2
Source: RefSeq, a predicted model, not a curated record
UCCUCAACAUUGUUGAGGAUGGAAGUUGAAAUAUGCAAGCCACCUCGAUCCUUGAGCGUGGGUAGUCAUUCCAAUUGCAUCAUACCAAGGAUACUUGGCCAACAAAAUGGAAGAUUGCUGACAAAAAAUUUAUAAUGUUCAACCAGCUCACAUGUGUCCUACUCAUCAUGUUGGGUAAGUCCGAACACCAUGACUCUGCUCUUUCGACUGCUAUCUUCUUUUCUCCUUUAUAUUUGCUUUUGCUUACUUUGUUUGCCUUGUCCUCUUCUUUUUCCCGACAGCUUCCAGAUUCAGGCUUUGCAAAUUCAAUUAAAGCAUCUUCUCUCCCUCAGUCUUUGGCCUGGAAUGCUCAGAAACAUGAGUCCUACUCACCUCUUCCUACAAGCUGUGUCUGAUGACUGAUCUUUCUUCAAGCUGCUGGGCGCCACCCAAUGUCCAAAUACUUAUUUGCUAACAUCUUUCAAGGCUUCGAAACUGCAUCCAUUUAGAAUCUUACUCUUAUCUAAUUUAGAAUAACUCUUUACCUGCUUUGUCCCGCAUGCUAUGUGGUACUUUGCAUUAUAGCCCUUUGAAUUAUUUUAUUUAUUUAUAAAUAAUUCAUGUUAUAUUAAUUAACCA